UAAUACGUAGGGUGCGAGCGUUAAUCGGAAUUACUGGGCGUAAAGCGUGCGCAGGCGGUUUGAUAAGAUAGGCGUGAAAUCCCCGGGCUCAACCUGGGAACUGCGCUUAUGACUGUCUCACUAGAGUACGGCAGAGGGGGGUGGAAUUCCACGUGUAGCAGUGAAAUGCGUAGAGAUGUGGAGGAACACCGAUGGCGAAGGCAGCCCCCUGGGCCGAUACUGACGCUCAUGCACGAAAGCGUGGGAGCAAACAGGAUUAGAUACCCUGGUAGUCCACGCCCUAAACGAUGUCAACUAGGUGUUGGGUGGGUAAAACCAUUUAGUACCGUAGCUAACGCGUGAAGUUGACCGCCUGGGGAGUACGGCCGCAAGGUUAAAACUCAAAGGAAUUGACGGGGACCCGCACAAGCGGUGGAUGAUGUGGAUUAAUUCGAUGCAACGCGAAAAACCUUACCUACCCUUGACAUGUCUGGAAUCCUGAAGAGAUUUGGGAGUGCCCGAAAGGGAGCCAGAACACAGGU
Molecule: ribosomal RNA, 521 nt
Filed under: uncultured Azonexus sp.
Lineage: Bacteria; Pseudomonadati; Pseudomonadota; Betaproteobacteria; Rhodocyclales; Azonexaceae
Description: bacterial SSU rRNA
Rfam family: Bacterial small subunit ribosomal RNA
Source: RNAcentral